UUUACACACAGGAGGACAGUGAGUGAGAGAUGGGUGACUAGGGCUCGUGUGAGAAGAUGGAGUCCCUAUGGCCUGGGGGAGCAAAUGUUAGGGUUUAUAUACUGAGCUGGGAAUUCGAUUUCUUGGAAAAACAACUUCCUUUGAAAAUAACACUUGUCAGAGAGAUAAUAGAAAUAUUUACUGAACUGACAGACAUUUGAGUUUGGUAACUGUUAGGCUGGAAAUCACCACAGACCCUGUAACGGAACACCCCGUACUCCGACCGAGUACCCUCCAUUGAUGGACGCUUCCUAGCCUGCACUGAAGACCACAAGCACCGGACACCACAAGCACCGCUGACUCCACAACCGCCAUACCUUAACUGGAGUCUCACCCGUCUUCUCUCCACCUUGGAUUAGCUUCUGCCCUCCAUGACCAUGUGGGGAAGACCUCUCCUCCAAGAGAGCUUAUCAGGAACAAGCUCUUAAAAGAGCUAAGUGAUUAAAGCUCAGGGGAGCAUGCAGAGCAUAGUAAUCCCC
This is a non-coding RNA of Pelobates cultripes (western spadefoot toad), 518 nucleotides long. NCBI's taxonomy places the organism in Eukaryota, Metazoa, Chordata, Amphibia, Anura, Pelobatidae. The record is from the annotation of a GenBank genome assembly.